UACUUGAUCACACUCUACAACCUUAGGUUUGGGGUAUGCAAAAUUUGAUCAUUAUCUUUUAUUCUUAUGCUAUAUUCUUUUAUUGACUUUUGUGUUUUUUACUGUGAAGGCUGGAAUACUAUCGAAUAUUUUGAGCUCGGUUAUUUGAACCAAGAUCAGUAUACAAUGAGAAUGGAACUCUUGUUGUCGCACUUUUUGAUAUAUUGAAAAUGCCAUCAAGAAUAUUUGUCGUCAAAGUGUUUUCACGACUUAUUCAAAGACAACAAGAAUGGAACUCGGGAUGUCAGUUCAAAUGUCAAAUUCUCAAAACUUUUGGAAGGCAACUUGUGGAACUUUAGGUCAUGAGGAUGGAAAACUUAUGUGCGCUUAUCAUUUCAUCAACUUUCUAGUUCCUAUUUUGAAAGUUGAUAAACAAAUCACAUCUCCAUGAGACUUUGAAUCGUAAAAGAGAAUGGAACUUGGGUUGCCACUUUAACUGUCGAAUUCCUGGAUAUUUUUGAAAGGCAACUUGUGGAAGGAAUUAGAGCUUUAGAUCACGAAGAUGGAAAACCUUUAUCGACACUUUUCAGUCUGCAACUUUCCAGGUUUUUUUUGUUCUAUGUUCAUAGCAAAUCCAGUCUCCAAAGCUUGAAUUGUAAAUGAGAACAGAGUAUUGUGCUUGUAAUUUAUUUCUUCUUCAGAUUUCACUUUCUCGUGUAAUUGUACUUUGCUUAUUAUAUGAAUGAAUAAAGAUACUUUCUGCAAUUUC
RNAcentral lists this long non-coding RNA (748 nucleotides) under Triticum aestivum (bread wheat). RNAcentral describes it as "long non-coding RNA (TAES_LNC022851)". Lineage: Eukaryota; Viridiplantae; Streptophyta; Magnoliopsida; Poales; Poaceae. The record is from RNAcentral.